GCAGUAUCCUAACUGUGCUAAGGUAGCAUAAUCAUUAGUCUUUUAAUUGAGGACUGGUAUGAAUGGCUAAACGAGAAAAUGACUUUUUUUGUUAUAAAAAUCGAAUUUAAUUUUUUAGUGAAAAAGCUAAAAUUUUUCAGAAAGACGAGAAGACCCUAUAGAGUUUUAUAUCCUAUAAUAUUUAUUCUAAUUUGAUUUCUAAAGACUAAAUAUAUAAAAGAUAUUUUGUUGGGGCGACAUUAAGAUAAAUAAAACUCUUUAUUUUUAUAAUUUCUAUAGAAAUAUAUUAUGAUCCUCUAUAAGGGAUCAAAAGAAAAAAUUACCUUAGGGAUAACAGCGUAAUCUUUUUUGAGAGUUCUAAUCGACAAAAAGGUUUGCGACCUCGAUGUUGGACUAAAAUUUAGGCAAGGUGCAGCAGUUUUGCUUUAAGGUCUGUUCGACCUAUA
RNAcentral lists this ribosomal RNA (446 nucleotides) under Adna anglica. Its description in RNAcentral is "partial 16S ribosomal RNA". It matches the Rfam family "Bacterial large subunit ribosomal RNA", at positions 1933 to 2590 of the family's 2925-position model. The record is from RNAcentral. Lineage: Eukaryota; Metazoa; Arthropoda; Thecostraca; Balanomorpha; Pyrgomatidae.